Long non-coding RNA from Poecile atricapillus (Black-capped chickadee), 1261 nucleotides. RefSeq lists it as uncharacterized. The transcript is spliced from 3 exons. The record is from RefSeq and is a predicted model, not a curated record. Lineage: Eukaryota; Metazoa; Chordata; Aves; Passeriformes; Paridae.
GGGGUUCCAGGGUUAUGAAAGGGGGGGUGCAGGGACUGGAAGAGGUGGGGUGGGGUGUCCAGCAGGUCCCUGUGCCCAGGAAAGGGGGUCCAGGGGACCCCAGUGUCAAGGAAAGGGGUCACGAGGUGGGGAUGGCUGGAAUGGGGGGCUUGGGGGUCCUUGAUGCAGAGGAAAGGGGGGGUGAGAGCUGAGAAAAGCAGGAAUGGGGGUCUGGGGGGUCUCAGGGUGAAGGAAAAGGGGGGGGUCUGGGGACUGGGAAAGGCAGGAUGGAUGGGAAAGGGGGUGCAGGGGGAGACUGGUACAGGAUAAGGGAGUGCAGGGGAGGUCCCAGUGCCUGAGACUGGAAAUUCAGGGCUCAGAAUCCUCCCUGGGACCCUCCACUAUUGGUGUCUAAAAAUGCUCGCUCGCGGUGAGAGGCUUCUCCUGGGUCAAGCUGUUCAGGUAUAAGCAAUUUAUUGUGAGGGUAAAGAGAGGGAGAGAUCCGUGUCCACCACCAGCCUCGGCGUGCCCGUGGUCCCGGGGGAGGGGAGAGAGCACGGAGUGAGAGGGAGAAAAGAGGUUAGAGAUCAGGGAAAACUAGAGAGGGGCAGGAGCAGGGAGAGGGGUAAGAAGUAAGAGAGGGGUAGGAGUUAAGAGGUGGGGAAAGGGGUAAGGGCUAAGAGGGGCGUAAGGGCUAAGAGCUCAGAGGUGAGAGCUAAGAGUGAAGAGUUAAGAGAGGAGAGAGAAGAGCUGAGAAGGGAGUAAGAGUUAAGAGCGAGAGGUUCUUGUUACAAUAAAAUAUAUGCAUUCCUAUAGUCAAUAUUCUAAUUCUCAGUAACCAAUCACUACAAGAUACUAAAGAAUUUACAUACAGCCUCUGAGCAUCCUCAUAUUAACAUACAGUGUUGCAUUUUAAACUCUACAAAGCUUUACAAGUUUUUCCUUGACCUUUGGACUUUCUAUCAGCAGAAGGACAUUGUUUUAUCAGCAGGGAUUCUCCUUUAGCUCGCUAGGCUAUUGCUCUUUGGUUAUACAUUAACUCGUACUCAGCUUCAUGACUCAAAGCAGGCUUUCAUUUCUACUUCGAUCUAACUUUCAUAUUUUCAGAAUCUUCUGCUAAACAAUCACAUUCAUAAGGUUUCCCUGUUUCACCCUCCCCAACACUCCACGACCCCCCAGGGACCGUCCCGGACCCCCUGGGAGCCCCAUAUAGGACGAGCGGGGGGUGAAGAACUGGGGUGACACAGAGAUUUGGGGGUCAGGAAGUGGAACCGGGAGAGCC